GGGCAAGGUUCAUAUGCUGUUGUCUAUCGUGGAAUUUGGAAUGGAUCGGACGUUGCAGUUAAGCUUUACUUUGGCAAUCAAUACAAAGAAGAAACUUUGCUAGAUUACCAAAAAGAGAUUGAUAUAAUGAAGAGACUUAGACAUCCGAAUGUGUUGCUAUUCAUGGGAGCAGUAUAUUCGCAAGAACGACUUGCUAUUGUAACAGAAUUCUUGCCCAGGGGGAGCCUUUUCAAAGCACUUCACAAAAACAAUCAGGCAUUGGACAUUAGACGACGUCUUAGGAUGGCCCUUGAUGUUGCUAGAGGUAUGAAUUAUUUGCAUCACAGAAAUCCACC
Molecule: unclassified non-coding RNA, 335 nt
Filed under: Hevea brasiliensis (rubber tree)
Lineage: Eukaryota; Viridiplantae; Streptophyta; Magnoliopsida; Malpighiales; Euphorbiaceae
Source: RNAcentral